RNAcentral lists this ribosomal RNA (559 nucleotides) under uncultured Glomus. Its description in RNAcentral is "SSU rRNA". It matches the Rfam family "Eukaryotic small subunit ribosomal RNA", at positions 546 to 1106 of the family's 1831-position model. The record is from RNAcentral. Lineage: Eukaryota; Fungi; Glomeromycota; Glomeromycetes; Glomerales; Glomeraceae.
AAUUGGAGGGCAAGUCUGGUGCCAGCAGCCGCGGUAAUUCCAGCUCCAAUAGCGUAUAUUAAAGUUGUUGCAGUUAAAAAGCUCGUAGUUGAACUUCGGGAUCAAUGGAUCGGUCAUGCCGUUGGUAUGUACUGGUCACAUUGGUUCUCACCUUCUAAGGAACCAUGAUGUCAUUCAUUUGAUGUUGUGGGGAAUUAGGACUGUUACCUUGAAAAAAUUAGAGUGUUUAAAGCAGGCUAACGCUUGAAUACAUUAGCAUGGAAUAAUGAAAUAGGACAUCGCAUUCUAUUUUGUUGGUUUCUAGGAUCGAUGUAAUGAUUAAUAGGGAUAGUUGGGGGCAUUAGUAUUCAAUUGUCAGAGGUGAAAUUCUUGGAUUUAUUGAAGACUAACUACUGCGAAAGCAUUUGCCAAGGAUGUUUUCAUUAAUCAAGAACGAAAGUUAGGGGAUCGAAGACGAUCAGAUACCGUCGUAGUCUUAACCAUAAACUAUGCCGACUAGGGAUCGGAUGAUGUUAAUUUUUUAAUGACUCAUUCGGCGCCUUACGGGAAACCAAAGUGU